CUGCAUUCUCAAACCCCUCUGGUAGCUUUAUUGCCAUAGCUUCCAGAAUAAGAACGAAUGCAAGAAAAAAUUGAAGAUCUAUCCAAAAUGUGGAGCUAAUUUCUUGUGGCUCUUUGUUAUUUCACAUCUUCAACAGUA
Chelonoidis abingdonii (Abingdon island giant tortoise) is the source of this 138-nucleotide small nucleolar RNA. NCBI's taxonomy places the organism in Eukaryota, Metazoa, Chordata, Testudines, Testudinidae. The record is from Ensembl.